Molecule: long non-coding RNA, 328 nt
Filed under: Carica papaya (papaya)
Lineage: Eukaryota; Viridiplantae; Streptophyta; Magnoliopsida; Brassicales; Caricaceae
Description: long non-coding RNA (CPAP_LNC014418)
Source: RNAcentral
GUCAACCUGUAAAGAAAAGGACGGUGAUCACAGUGGUGUAAAAAUUGCAUCAAACGGGAACCGGAAAGGGCCUCAUCGAAGGUAAAAAUUGAAGGAAGCCGCGGCGGCGCCGCUAGACUUCGGCGGUGUUUUCCGGCCGAUUAGUUGGUGGUUUGGCUCCGAUUUGGCCAUAGGCGGAUUUAAUUUCGAAAAACGAGCCAAUGGGAGAAAAUUUACCUCCUUUGGCGGUCGGAAAACCCUCCGGUGCGGUGGCGGGUGGCGGCGGCCGACUCCUCCGGCGACUGGUUCUUCUUCUCCGGCGAGGGUACUAGCGGCUAGGGUUUGGGGU